Molecule: ribosomal RNA, 460 nt
Filed under: uncultured delta proteobacterium
Lineage: Bacteria; Deltaproteobacteria
Description: bacterial SSU rRNA
Rfam family: Bacterial small subunit ribosomal RNA
Source: RNAcentral
GCAACCCUGACGCAGCGACGCCGCGUGGAUGAUGAAGGCCUUCGGGUUGUAAAAUCCUGUCAGAUGGGAAGAAGUGCCAGUUAUCUAAUAGGUGAUUGGUUUGACGGUACCAUCAGAAGGAAGCACCGGCUAACUCCGUGCCAGCAGCCGCGGUAAUACGGAGGGUGCAAGCGUUGUUCGGAAUUACUGGGCGUAAAGCGCGCGUAGGCGGCUUUUUAAGUCAGAUGUGAAAGUCCAUGGCUCAACCAUGGAAGUGCAUUUGAAACUGGGGAGCUUGAGUACUGGAGGGGGUAGUGGAAUUCCCGGUGUAGAGGUGAAAUUCGUAGAGAUCGGGAGGAAUACCGGUGGCGAAGGCGRCUWCCUGGCYAGAUACUGACGCUGAGGUGCGAAAGCGUGGGGWUUAAACAGGAUUAGAUACCCUGGUAGUCCACGCCGUAAACGAUGAGAACUAGGUGUUGGG